CCCCUAGAUGUUCUGGGCCGCACGCGCGCUACACUGAACAGUUCAACAAGUCUUAACCUUGGCCGAUAGGUCUGGGUAAUCUUUGAACGCUGUUCGUGAUUGGGAUAGUCCUUUGCAAUUAUGGGUCUUCAACGAGGAAUUCCUAGUAAACGCAAGUCAUCAGCUUGCAUUGAUUACGUCCCUGCCCUUUGUACACACCGCCCGUCGCACCUACCGAUUGAAUGGUCCGGUGAAAUCUCGGGACGGCGGCUUGGUCGCUUGCGUCCGACUGCUGAAACUUGAUUAAACCAUAUCAUUUAGAGGAAGGUGAAGUCGUAACA
RNAcentral lists this ribosomal RNA (320 nucleotides) under uncultured eukaryote. Its description in RNAcentral is "partial 18S ribosomal RNA". It matches the Rfam family "Eukaryotic small subunit ribosomal RNA", at positions 1470 to 1796 of the family's 1831-position model. The record is from RNAcentral.